RNAcentral lists this long non-coding RNA (588 nucleotides) under Pan troglodytes (chimpanzee). Its description in RNAcentral is "lincRNA". Lineage: Eukaryota; Metazoa; Chordata; Mammalia; Primates; Hominidae. The record is from RNAcentral.
UUGCCUAGGCUGGAUUGCAGCGGUGCGAUCAGGACUCAUUGCAUCCUCAACCUCCCCGACUCAAGCAGUCCUCCCACCUCAGCCUCCUGAGUAGCAAGGCUACAGAGACCUGGGGGAUUUUAGAACAGGGCUUUCAAGGUAAUGAAGGAAGAGAAUCUUCUUUGGACUUCUUUUUGCUCCAGAUGCGGAGAAGGCAACUUCCCGGAGUCUCUACCAGUGAGAAGGCUACAGAAUCACGGGCCGAUGGGGUCUCACUGUGUUGCCCAGGCUGGUCUCAAACUACAGUGGCUCAAACAAUCCUUCCAGUACUGCCUCCCGAGGUGCUGGGAUUAUAAGCGUGAGCCACAGCACCUGGCCACAGAGUACAUUUUAAAUGUCUUAAUAAAACGUGACAGAAAGUCUAGGUAGAAAGCAGCUAUCUUUGAUGACAGAAUGAUAAAGAGAGAUGUCACCUUCUAUGUAAUAUCACUUGGAUACUGAAACUUCUCCAUGAACUGGAAGAAUGUAUGCUUCACUGUGGUAAACAGAAUUUCUAAAAUGACCUCUUCCUCCCUGAGAUAUCCUGACAUAAUACCCUAAAUUUGUAAA